Molecule: ribosomal RNA, 253 nt
Filed under: uncultured bacterium
Lineage: Bacteria
Description: partial 16S ribosomal RNA
Rfam family: Bacterial small subunit ribosomal RNA
Source: RNAcentral
UACGUACCGUCCAAACGUUAUUCGGAAUCACUGGGCUUAAAGGGCGCGUAGGCGGGCUGCCGCGUCCGGGGUGAAAUCCUCCGGCUCAACCGGGGAAGGGCCUCGGAUACGGGCGGCCUGGAGUGGGGUAGGGGCGUGCGGAACUGUGGGUGGAGCGGUGAAAUGCGUUGAGAUCCACAGGAACUCCGGUGGCGAAGGCGGCACGCUGGACCCUUUCUGACGCUGAGGCGCGAAAGCCAGGGGAGCGAACGGG